Molecule: non-coding RNA, 699 nt
Organism: Odocoileus virginianus texanus
Lineage: Eukaryota; Metazoa; Chordata; Mammalia; Artiodactyla; Cervidae
Source: RefSeq, a predicted model, not a curated record
GGAGGUUCCAGAUCCUCACAGGGCAUUUCAACAGAGAGGAAUGUCUAUUUCUUGAAUGUGGCAUUGAUGUUAAAUCUGUGUGGUGCAGGUGUCUAUAUAAUUUUCGAUUCACUCUGGCAAACCACUUUGAGAACUAGCACAUACCCUAAGACUAGAGGCCUUGUAGGUGGUCCUGAUUGGUCAGGAGAGGACUUCCACACAUAUGAUGAGAAGAAGGCAAAUCAUACAAAUAUGAAGUCUGAAUUGAGAGGUUUCCCUUGUUCCCAUGAUCUGAUUGCCCAUGUCCAGCACUGGAGAUUUGGUCAUCAUAAGCAUCAUUGUACCAAGCUUGAUCAACUCAGGAUCUGUUGGAGGAAGUUCAGGAUGAACCUGUGGGCUUGGAUGUCCCGUCAGGGUCACCGCGAGGCUCGGCUGCCUCGGCCAUCUGCCCCUCACUCUUUGACGUCUCUUCAAAUUAAACACCACGCCCUGUGGUAAAUUGUUCCUGCUUUAUAAACAGCCGACCUGGCUGGAGUUGCCCUGAAAAUGCUACAGAGGAAGGGUGUCAGAGAGAAGAAAAAGGAAAGGCCGCAGACGCAAGGGCAAAUUUGUUGGUCAGAGGACUCCAGUCUCUAAGGAAUCUAAGAGCUUUCUGUGUAAAGGAGGUGUCCCGGGAGCCUCUCCGCUCACAGCUCUCAUGACUUUUUUCUUUUUAGAUUU